RNAcentral lists this ribosomal RNA (477 nucleotides) under uncultured organism. RNAcentral describes it as "partial 16S ribosomal RNA". It matches the Rfam family "Bacterial small subunit ribosomal RNA", at positions 332 to 800 of the family's 1533-position model. The record is from RNAcentral.
UACACCCCUGCGGGAGGCAGCAGUGGGGAAUUUUGGACAAUGGGCGAAAGCCUGAUCCAGCCAUGCCGCGUGCAGGAUGAAGGCCUUCGGGUUGUAAACUGCUUUUGUACGGAACGAAACGGCCUUUUCUAAUAAAGAGGGCUAAUGACGGUACCGUAAGAAUAAGCACCGGCUAACUACGUGCCAGCAGCCGCGGUAAUACGUAGGGUGCAAGCGUUAAUCGGAAUUACUGGGCGUAAAGCGUGCGCAGGCGGUUAUGUAAGACAGUUGUGAAAUCCCCGGGCUCAACCUGGGAACUGCAUCUGUGACUGCAUAGCUAGAGUACGGUAGAGGGGGAUGGAAUUCCGCGUGUAGCAGUGAAAUGCGUAGAUAUGCGGAGGAACACCGAUGGCGAAGGCAAUCCCCUGGACCUGUACUGACGCUCAUGCACGAAAGCGUGGGGAGCAAACAGGAUUAGAUACCCCAGUAGUCCCAUGA